Long non-coding RNA from Oreochromis niloticus (Nile tilapia), 1572 nucleotides. RefSeq lists it as uncharacterized. NCBI's taxonomy places the organism in Eukaryota, Metazoa, Chordata, Actinopteri, Cichliformes, Cichlidae. The record is from RefSeq and is a predicted model, not a curated record. The transcript has 3 exons.
AAUUAGGAUUGUUUAUAAUAAAUAUGCAUUAAUUAGUGCAAUUUCUUUAACCAUAAAGAAUAACUAAAUCCCUCAGGACAAUGUCACAUCAAUGCACUGAACUCAUUAUGUUAUCCACCUAACAGAGCCUCCACAUGUUCUCACUGUAAUUUCCCCCUCAUGAAUGAAUUUAUGCUGCACUAAUCUGAAUGUUUUGGGGGAAAUCAAACGCAUUUUACUCGCAGUACUCGAGGUGACUUACCUUUGUUUGAAUGACGGCGUACUCACAACGUGGAGGCUUAAAAAUAGCCAAAUCUUGUACCCAGUCCUUGGUGAAUUAGAUGUGCGCCUCCAGAGAUUUAUAAUGACGAAAUUGGUGCGCCAUGUAUGCGCUGACUCCACAGACAAGGUACGAGAAUAUAUAGCGGUGUGGUCUUCAGGGUUUCUACUCCACAGCCGUAUUUCAUACAGGUCCACAUUUCCAAUGCAUGCUGUUUUUUGCAAGUACCGUCUCUUUGCAUCUGGACACAAUCUGUCUCUAUACCGUCCUUUUUUUUUUGAGCUACGUUUCAGAAUGGUUCGUAGCAAUCUUGUUUUGAUUCGUGGCCUGCCAAUAUGGUGCUGCGCUCCCACAAUGCAUUGCGGCGUUACGUCAACUCCAAAGCCCUUUGCAUGCAGGAGAGUAUGCGCAUGCGCAUUGCCAUGGUGAUUUUAAAAAUAAAGAUAAAAUGAAAAGUAAUUAAUAAAAAGUACAUAUUUAAAUAUUCCCACAAAUGUGCAAUGAACGUGCAAAAACUCUGUUUAUAAGUUAAGCUGUUUCUUUCUUUCUUUCUUUCUUUCUUUCUUUUUUUUGAAAAAUAACGAUGUCUCUGAGGUGCGAAUUCCGACAGUGAGAGGAACGGCCGGAUACAGGAGACGGGAAGAAACAAGCCGAUUAUGUUAAUUAAGUGGUUGGAAGAUGUAAAAUUCAGUCAACUGAACAUAUACGAGAUUUUAAUGCGGAUGAAUAAUUAGCCGGCAUGGACCUUUAUUUGGUGGAGUGGCAACAAGGAGCCAAAAGGCGGGUGGCCGGUCUAUGAAGCCUCCAUCAUCAAGCUAGCAGAAAUCCCACCUCUCCUUCUGGCUACAGAGCACUUACUUACCAAGCCCAUGAAAUCGCAUGCAGAUCUUCCUGAUGUGAAAUUUACACAAAUCUAAGUAAUUUUGUUUGUCAUUAUCAUUAAUGUUGUUGCUGUUGUUGUUUUUGUGCAGUUUACAAUCAUAUAAACCUAGCAAACAUCAGUCAGCACUGUGCCUAACCUAAACAGAUUUUUGCUUUAUUGACAUAUACUUGUACUUGGCCCCACCCCAUUGUUGUGACAGCCCUGAUUGUACUUAUACACUGCAUCUGAACAGGGAACAGUCUGCCACAUUAAUGUAUUUUUAAGUGACUUGUUUGUAACACAUGAAUUUUUCUCUUACAGAUGUCAAAGUCUCAACCUCAUGCUGCCCUCCCCCAUCCUCCUAAAGUAAGUAUUCAGUUACAGUUCACACCACAUCUUGAUGCAUUCUCAAUCAUCCAGGAAAGUAAAUCUCCAAAAGUUGAAUCUGUUC